Gasterosteus aculeatus aculeatus (three-spined stickleback) is the source of this 1988-nucleotide long non-coding RNA. NCBI's taxonomy places the organism in Eukaryota, Metazoa, Chordata, Actinopteri, Perciformes, Gasterosteidae. The record is from Ensembl.
UCCCACAUGUCAAAAACAAGACAUCUGAAAUGAGUUAAGCUUGAUUAAUCUUGAUGUGUGCAUCUUCUCACUGAACAUGACUUGCGUUACAUGAACCGACGUCACGCCGCACUGAGAGAAUCAUCCUCACUAUACGACACAGUUUUCAAAGGGAGACUUUUUUUUUUUUUUAGUUUUAGUGUCGUUGUAGUUUCUAAGCAACAGAAAUCCGGGUACGAAGAGUUCGAUGAAGCAGCAGACGGCUUCACGAGGAACGAGCGACUUCAUCUCAAGUUGAACAACAAGUAGUUAACACGCUGAUCCGUCCGCAUCCACUGUUUUCAACGUGAGCAAGAUGGCCGCUGCUGGGAGAAGGCCCUCGCGGUCGGCGCGCCAUGUGACCACGGCAACCACAGAAAACCUCAGCAAAGGAACCGAUACAGGAGCCGGAUAUCACAAUGACUUGGCCUCGGAUUCCCUGUGCGGUUGCAAAUUCCCAACGAGGACACUGAAGUCAAUGCCCAUCCAAUUACUUCGUUCUAAAGUAUGUAAAAUCAUGCAACGGUGAGGAAAGGAAGGAUUAGGCUACGGCUCGACUAUAGCAUGAGGUUCUCUUUCCUUCCAAAGACUCUGAAUGUCAAAUCUUUUUUUUUCUUUUGUGUGUGUGUGUGUGUUGUUUAAUUAGAGAAUGCUUAUCAUAGACGCAUGGCGCGCUACUGAGAGGUGACAGCACCCCAGUGUUGUAAAAUUAAUUAUAUCACUAAUGUGGACCCUGUGCAUGUGAAAUAGCUGAACUCUCCCCAAAUAGCUCAUUAAUCUUCAGACAGCCACUCCUGGACUAGGUGAAGUGGUCUUGAAUUUCAAUACCCAUCCUUGCUGGUUGUAACCUUUCCCUCCUCUCGCUCGAGCAGCCGAUGGGGGAACAGGAGCAUUGGAGAGAGAAUAAUAUUGUCUGCAGCGGUAUCUCUAGCACUUCUCUCUGUGAGUCAUAUAAUUACACACACCUACGCAGUUUUCCUAAACACACACACACUCUCUCUCACACACACACACUUGCGCAAAACCAGGCUUAGAGUUUAAAGUGGAGUACGCCCGAGAAGUGCUGAUGUAUCCUAUGAUUAUUAAAAAAAGAAAAAAUACUGCCCGCCGCACUAGCAUAAACAAAUCACUUGAAAUGAAAUUUUUCAGGUAAUAAAAGUGCGUUCUUGAAAAAGACCAAACUGGACCCCACUGGUUCUUAUCCGUUUUUAGCCGUCGCAGCAAAAGUAUGCAGGAAAUUAAAGUUCUCGAUUUAAAGAUUUGUUUGAUACACUGCAAACCUUUCCACUUGUUAUUAAAGCCCUCCAGAGAUUUUUAUCGUAUCACAUGAUCAUUAGUGGAUGGAAUGGAGUUUUUAUCUGGAACCUUUUUCUUACUCCUGCAUUAGAGCAUCGCAAGCAGGAAUAGCAAGAGAGAGCAAUAAGAGGACUGUGAAGAUUAAAGCGUCAGCGAAAUUUUGGUUGCCAGGUGAAACUAAAGAAUGAUAGAUCCUAAAUUUCCCACAGUGCAACGUUUACAGUGUUUUUUAUCACUUUCCACGCUUGGUUAAUACCAACAUCCAUCAGUUCCCAAAACAUCAGCAGUUCCGGAUGAUGUAAAGAAAAACAAAUUAUGUCAGUCAGUUCGACCUUAAACAACCGCUUUAUUACUGGAUGAACUUUGUGUGUAAAAUCAAUGCGGUGCUGUUUUAUCAAAUGGCUAUUUUUUACCUCCCAAACAGCCGUUUAUUAAACAAUUUUGCAUCAGUUAUAAUGUCUUUAUGCUAUUUUUUUUUCCAAAUGAAUUAAGAUUUUAAAAAAGUAAAAUAUUUACUGUAGGUGUCCAUCAGGGUGCUCUCCGUGGUGCUGAUCUAAAGAGAAAACCAAGUGUAUCCUCUGUUUGUUUGGCAUCGGCUGCAGAGUGGUUUUGCAAACCCUCUUUAGGGCAGUAUGGUUUCUGUAAUCCGCCCCACUGUUUGUGUGACUCUCCCC